Corvus hawaiiensis (hawaiian crow) is the source of this 3203-nucleotide long non-coding RNA. RefSeq lists it as uncharacterized. The transcript is spliced from 4 exons. Lineage: Eukaryota; Metazoa; Chordata; Aves; Passeriformes; Corvidae. The record is from RefSeq and is a predicted model, not a curated record.
GGCAGCACUGCUGUGCUAUUCUGUGAUUUCACAGGCAUUAUAGCAAUGGAAGCGCUGUCACCUAGACAAAAUUUUUCCCAGUGAUGCUUUGGAAGGCAAAGAAAAUGAUGGGCUUCUUCUGAUAGAUGAUAUAACUGGAGGCGGAGGUGGAAAUAUACUGGAAAACCAUUUUCGUCAUCAAGGAAAGCUUAACUGUACCAGAGCAAUCCCAAAGUGAUGUGAACCAAUGCUACCUACCAGCAAUACUAAAAUCAGAGCCUGGGGACCUGUAUUGUGAACAAGAUCGGUAUUGGGUUUAGAAGCAGGUAAUAAAUAAGCAGUGAAAUGGACAGAUUAACAACAUAUUUUGAAAGUUCUAGACAACUUUUUUCCUCAACCAUCAGAAAUACCACCUAUAAACGUGUAGAUAUAUUUAAAAAGAGACUUCUUAAGCUAUACUGUCUUCAGCUUUUGCAUACUUUAUAAGAAUUUGACAAAACCUAAUAAAAGUAUGUAUUCCUUCUAAGGAAUUGCAACUGAAUUCUACAGUUCAUAGAUCCAAAAUAAGCAGUUUGUGUAACCUUACUUUAAGUUCAUUAACAACAGAAGAAUGUCGCCUUGGGGAAUUUGUCUUGUUACACGUUCCUAGAGAUAUACACAGAGCUCAGACGAAGAGACAGUCCAUAACCCAUGCUCUGUCCUUGAACCAGCAUUUCCAUCAAUAUUUUACUACUCAUUUCUAAAACAAUCAGAUAACUUUCCCUUUGAAUUGGGACUUCAAAGCACUCAAAGUUUUGGAUCUAAAAAAGUUUUCUGAUUACACACUUAAUCUAAUAAUAAGUAGUGUACAAGACUAUUUUAAAAGUAUUUUCCUACAAAGGAUGACAAUUUCUUUGGAAUCUUUCUUGUUCCAAGCAAUCCUGGGAUCAUCAUUAAAUACUGGCAGCUUAAAGAUUAUCUCUGUAUAUUUACCAAAUCUUACUCCAGCUCUGACAAGAUAAGAUAAAAGAAUAGUGUUACUUGCCAGGGUCAAGAGUUAUAGCAGUCUAAAAUGCAGAGCACUUUUCUCGAUAACAGAAUUUUUUUAGAAUAGGAUUUUGAGGGAGUUUUUUGUUUGUUUGUUUGCUGUAGAUUUGGCUUUUUGGAUCAGUUUUGUUUUUGGUUUGUUUGGUUUUUCUUUCUAAAGUAGGAUAAGAAGUCAUAAAACAACAGAAGUAAAUGGAAAAGAACAGCAUUUUCUAAAGCGAUAGCUGAAGUAGUCCAGUAGCUAUAUAAAGUAAAGGAAUACUAUAAAAUGCAUGGGAGGGAAAAAAAACAAACCACCACUCUCUAAUUUUUGUACAAGAGUCAAUGCAAAUCAUAAGUUACUACUACAUGCAUUGUGAUUGAUGUAAUUUGAUUUCAGAGCCAACAUUUUCUUUGUACAACUCUGCUUUUUCUUCCCUCUGGUUAUGAUUUUUAGCACACCUGAUCAACUGAGUUUCUCCCAUGAGGAGAUAUUUUUUUUUGCUCAUGGCAAACUGAUGACCAACCCUGUUGCUGCCUGGCCCACUGUUGUAAGGAAACGUAGCAACAACACUCCUUUUUCCCUCACAAAAUUAAGUAGGCUAUAACACUCGAAGAACACUUUAAAGAGAAAAAGCCAGCAGCUCUUGGCCUGAACCUGACUAAAACAAAUUUCAGGCCACAUUUGAAAAGGAGAAACUAGAUUAUAAUGUAUAAAAAUACCUGCAAUAAUGAAGUCUAUGUGUUCUUUCACACUUCUUUCAGUCUUUGACUUACUUUCCCUUCCACUUCUGUAAACAAAAUGUCAAUCUUCUAACAUAUUUUUCUUGAUCUGCAGCAUUAUCGUUUUUGUGGGUGCUGCUCCUUCAGCCUCUAAAUAAUUUAUUUUUCAUUUUCAUGUCCUUCCUCUCUGUCUUUCCUGUUGCUGAGAUGUUCUCUGUUCACCAUCCUUCUUCUUGCUAGAUCUCAGUUCUAUAAGCUAUUUCUCUCCUUAGCAAUUUCUUGAUAGCCCUUUUGAUGACCUUUUUUCACCAACAAGAAGCAUCUGAACUGCUGCAUCAGUGCUACAGCAGUCUGGAAGUCAAAAAUGUUUAAAAGGUGUGUUAGAAAUUCUUAUGUCACAGACUAUUUUAUUAUUUAUACUUUUAACUUUUGUAUUUGAAUGGGACUUUUCACAGGGAUUUUGAAAGAAAGCAGAUUUUGAAAGGUGGAAGCAGAGGGACAUAAACAUCAUGAAAGUGCUGGAGACGGUUUGCAAACAGCAAUCUCAAAACAAGGAAAACCUAAACCAGUACAUUGCUUUUAUCUCCAGACAGUUUUCACUGCCAGCUGUCCUCAGAAGGCCAAGAAGUGGCUUGUAACUCAGUCAGAUCAUGAAGAUCCACCACCAUUGCUCCCAUCAGAACAAGAGCAGAGCUAAGCCUUCCUUUGCCUUCAAGUAGGGAGUAGAAAGGACACUGAGGGUUUAGACAUAUUUCAAAAAGUUGCCCUAACAGUGCCAUGGAGAGAGAGAUGAGCUAAUGCAUUACCUCUGUUCUAAUUUACUUUUUCAGUAUAUAUGCUAGUUAUUUACUUCUGCAUAUGUCCCUUACAGAAUAUGAUAAGGAGGACAUAAACCAGGUGAUGAGGCACACUGUAAAUUGUGAACUACGACUGUGAAAGCCUGUAGAGACAAACCCUGGGAAUCAGUGUUGAUAUAAGCAUAGGAAAGAGAAAAGAAAGCCCAAAAAUUAAUAAAUUUAGUCAAGGAUAUUUACAGAUUACUAAUGUUUUAUAACACUUGAAUAGAGAACUCGAUAUGCUAUUUGCUUUCACAGACCUGUCAUAAAAACAAUGAAGAAAGAAAAAUAAAACAACUUUCCUUGGAAAAUUAAUAAUUAAGGUAAGAAGAUAUAAUCUAAGUUAUAGGGAAUACAUCUGCUCUCUCAGAUGAUAAUAUGAUAAAUCUUGACAAGAUGUUUAAAUUUGCACGAGUUCUCAUAUAUUCACAGAAAAAUUGAGAUAUAGGAAUUAGUAUACCUUGCCAAGGAAAGGCUCGUGAAUAAAAGCAAAACAGCAAAGUGGAUCAGAAAGAACUACUAGGUGUCACUAAAAUGCCUGAGGAGACUUAUUCUAAAGGAAGUCAUAAAAAUCAGAUGACUUGGUCUGAGAGAAGAAUUUGCUGAAGAAUCAGAAAACAUUAGAAAGCUGUGAACAAUCCAGUCACCUAGCUGACCUUG